AAUAUUUUUCUUCCUGAAACCUCUGCAGUGGUAGCAAUGCAUUGAAGUUUGAUUAAAAGUUUACUGCUCAUUCCUGCCAUGAGAAGAUGAUAGAGAAGAUCACCACAGUGUGGCUUGCUUCUAAGGCAGCAUGGUUUCAUGCAGAGGAUCUAAACUGGGUACCAUGUGCUGGGCUGCAAAAGGGCUGUGCAGUGCCUAAAAUGUUGUGCAAAAUUUUAUAAAGCCUCGUCUUUCUCUUGAACUCCAUAAUUAUGUAUGCAACUUCAUCUUCAGCAUCUUCAGUUGGAUGUCUAAUUCCAAACUGCACAUGUACAGGAGACGUUUUGACCAUUUUCCCACAAACUUGACCUAUCCACAGGC
Molecule: long non-coding RNA, 360 nt
Organism: Gorilla gorilla gorilla (western lowland gorilla)
Lineage: Eukaryota; Metazoa; Chordata; Mammalia; Primates; Hominidae
Exons: 3
Source: RefSeq, a predicted model, not a curated record